CGAACCUUCUUCUCCCUUUCCGAUCUCCUCCUCUUCUCCUCUUCUCACAUGAAGUGAGGAAGCUCGUGUGAGUGCUCGGGAGGGAGAUGAGUCCGAGGUCGGGGGUGUUGGCGGCCGGCCAACAUCGCUCGCGGCUCAGCCUGUAGCGGCGGAUCCCCCCUUCUUCUUCUUCCAUCUUCUCUUCAGAAGGGACGAGGGCGACUCCCCCUCACGGAAGAGGUCGGUCACGACCGGCGGCGCCCAUGGUCGCGCCCGCAGCGGCCGGCCCCCUCUCUGUUCUUUGGUGCAAAUGGGGGUCGGAACCACCCCCUUGAGAAGAAGGGGCCUCCGUCCCACCGCAGCUCUGACUGAAGCCCGCGGAGUCUGCGGUCGGAGCCGGCGGCUCCUCUUUCGUCCCCACUACGGGUAGGGGAGGGACCCAUCACCACGGCCAUGGCAGCAGCCAAACUCGCAGCGACCAAGAAAAAUCUGCGGCCGAGUUCACCGUGCCGGAUCCGCAGCUGGGGGGACCCUAGUUCAUGAACAAGGGUGAUAAGAAAUUUAUCUAGCUCCGAGGAGCUGUGAGGUCUUUCCGACGGGAUACUGUAUCUCCUCCGGCGGCUCAGUUGCGGUGACGAGCUGGGUUUUCUCCUCCUUUGCCGCUCCCGAUCCAGCUCCUUUGCACAGAAGGAGAAGGGAAUGAGAGGCAGUGAGAGGGUAAGGGAUGAAGCAUUCUUGAGAAGAGUCCUUGGGUUCUUAUAGGCCUCAGUGGGGAGGAAGAAGAGUGGUGGAGAUCGUGGCUGUUAGGCAGUUAUAACCGCCUCAACAGCUGCCGAUCUCCACCGCGAUUCCUUCCGAGUUUUUAGAUGGGCUGCCGACUAUAGUCCAGGUUGGCCCAUCUGGUUCGAGAUUUACAGUUCGUUCCCUAUUCUUGUUAAUAGCAAUGGAGCUAGAGCUACUUUUCAUAUGGUAUCAGAGCAGAGCUUAUUUUUCAGGCUGCAUUGAAACCUUCUGUGAACCUAAGCGUGGAAGAGCUUAACAAGCUUGUUGAUGGAGAUGUCGAAGAAGUUAUCAAGAUCGAUGCCACGGUAGCUGAUCUUCGGCUGGCCGGCCACAAAAUCCUCCAUGGCUGCGGGCAAAUGGGAUGUUCGUCUCGAGGGACACCGCGAGCAAGAGGCGAUUUAGAGUUUUUUUUGGAGGUUCUUGAUCGGAGCAGAGCAGAUCUGAGAUCUUCCCCUUGUUUUUGGGACUUCUUGAUCAGAGCAUAUUUGAGUUCUUCUUCUUGGUUUUGGUGCUUGCUGAUCAGAGCAGAUCUAAGUUCUACUUCUUGGUUUUGGAGGUUCUUGAUCAAAGCAGAGGAGAUCUGAGUUCUUCUUGGUUUUGGAGGUUCUUGAUCAGAGCAGAUUGGAGCUCUUCUUUUGGUUUUGGAGCUUCUUGAUCGGAGCAGAUAUGAGCUCUAUUCUUUCUCUAUGGCUCUCUCUCAUACUUCCGAUUCACUUGAUUCCACUGAGAAUCCUUCGAUCCCCUUCUACCUCCCUUAUGGUGAUCAUCCUGGUCAAGUCUUGGUGGCUCAACUUCUUACCAUCGAGAACUAUAGCUCUUGGCAUCGUGCAGUGAUUCACGGUUUGCGAGCAAAGCGUAAGUUGGGCUUCAUAGAUGGUACAAUCCCCAAACCAAGUCCCACUGAUGCAUCCUAUUCCUCUUGGUUGGCAUGUAACAAUAUGCUGCAUUCCUGGUUGAUGAAUUCAAUUUCACCAGAUAUUGUUUCUAGUGUUCAAUAUAUUGAAUCUGUUAGAGAGCUAUAGUUGGAUCUAGAAAAACGAUAUUCUCAAGGAUAUAGAGCUAGAAUUUCUAAGUUGCAAUCACACAUUGGUGCUCUUUCACAAGGCUCCAAUUCUGUCUCGGUCUAUUUCACUCAGUUGAAAACUCUUUGGGAUGAAUUAAUGCAGUUCAGCGCUCUUCCUUCUUGCAAAUGUACUUCCACUUGCAGUUGUGGUGCUCUCACCACCAUUGCCUCUUUUCAACAUGAGGAUUAUGUUGUAAAGUUUCUUAAUGGUUUAAAUGACAGUUUUGUCUUUGUCAAAGAUCACAUAUUGCUGAUGGAACCUUUGCCUUCCAUUAACAAAGUCUUCUCCACUGUGCUUUAAGCUGAGAAGCAAAAAUCUAAUCGAGCUAAUUUGGCCGUAAUGUUUCUGUAGAGCCUGCUGCUUUAGGAAGUCAAACUAAGCCCCAACAACAAUAUCAGAGGAACAAAUCCAGCAGUAACAACAAGAAACGUCCCAUUUGCAAUUGGUGUGGGAAGCAGGGACAUAUAGAGAACAAAUGCUUUGAAAAGCAUGGAUAUCCAUCCGGCUGGAAGAUCAAUCGAAAUAAACCUACAAACUCUAGUAGAAAGAAUACCACUUCUGCCAAUCAUGCACAAGGAGCCAUGAUCGAUAAAGGGGAUGCAGCUGGUGACAUUCCACAACUCCUAUUCACUCAUGAAUAAUGUCAGAAGCUUCUCUCAUUGAUUUCAAAUUCAGAUAUCUCACAGCCAUCAUUAAGUAACCAAACUUCACACCGAGCAAGCAGUGUCUUAGGUCCGCCACCAAUGUCAGGCCCUGCCUACAUGGAUGACGAUUGGACUAGCUAGAGAACGGGAUGGUUUUUUCUACGUGCAUUCACCUUACAAACUACAUUCUAAACCUCAGAAACAGUCUUCCACACAAAAUCACAAUCUUUCAAUUGCUAUUCCAUCUCUCAGUAAAGCAUAUGGUGCUGAAUGACAUAAGUCUUCUUUUCUUUGUAAUGAUUUCGAUCUUUGGCAUUAUAGGUUAGGCCAUUUGUCUAAGGAUCACCUUCAUAGUAUAAAGAGAUCUUUAGGAGUAAACUCCUCUCAUCAACAUUGUAUAGUCUAUCCUUUAGCAAACUAGAAACGUCUUUCUUUUCAAUCAAGUACUAGUGUUACUCAUUCCAUUUUUGAUCUUAUACACUAUGACAUUUGGGGACCUUAUUCAGUUGCUGCAAUUGGAGGUUAUCAUUACUUCUUGACUAUAGUAAAUGAUUAUUCUUGCGCUACUUUGGUAUAUCUUAUGAAAACAAAAGGAGGCACUCAACAGCUGCUACAAUCCUUUUUUACUCUUGUUGCCACACUGUUUGGUGUACAAAUUAGGAAAAAUCGUAGUGAUAAUGGACCUAAAUUUCACAUGCCUGAUUUUUACAAAGCCAAAGGUGUUUUACAUGAAAAAUCAUGUGUUGAAACCCCUCAACAAAAUAGUGUGGUUGAAAGAAAACACCAGCACUUGUUACAACUUGCAAGAGCCCUUCGAUUUAAAGCUCAUCUUCCAUUAAAAUUUUGGAGGGAUUGUGUUUUGACCGCUGCUUAUUUAAUUAAUCGCAUUCCAACCCCUGUUCUGUCCAACAAAUCAACUUAUGAGCUACUUUUCUGUAAACCACUUUAUUACACUCACUUGUGGGUUUUUGGUUCAUUAUGUUAUGCUUCAACUCUCUCUAGAAAUAGAUCGAAGUUCGAUGCUCGAGCCACUGCAUGCAUCUUUAUUGGUUACCCUCUUGGCAUGAAGGGAUACAAACUUUAUGACUUGAGUUUCCACUCAAUUUCCGUGUCUCGUGAUGUUGUUUUUCAUGAAAAGAUCUUUCCUUUCAAAAGAAGCAUGUAAUCUCCACUCCCUCCGUAUCAGGCACAUCCCCUGUUGUUUUAUCUCUGCCAAUCAUGGAUAAUUUUCCUCACCAUGUCACCUCCACUCCUGGCUCUCAAGCUUAGAGCUCUUGCACAUUUCUCCUAAUGUCACUUUUUUUUCUGACUCCCAAGUUCAGACUUCUUCUCCUGUUCCUACAAACCCUGCACUUAGCAGUCCUUGACCUACCAGAGUAAGACAUCCUCCCUCUUAUCUUAGAGAUUAUCACUAUAACUAGUCAUCUCAUUCAUCUAAUAGUCCAUCAUCUUCAAUGACAGCAGGACCUGCUCCAAUUUUUAAGUACUUAGGUAUGUACUCAGGUAUCAUCUUGUUCUCUUUCAUCUGUUUUGUCUUAUACAAAAUUGGCACCUACACAUCAAGCUUUUACUCUUUUUAUUUCUUCACAUUUUGUACCUCAAACCUACUCUCAAGCUGUUGAGUAUCCUGAAUGGUGUCAAGCUAUGAAAGCUAAACUCACUGCUCCCGAGGAAAAUAGGACUUGGACUAUCGCUGACUUGCCUCCUAGUAAGCAGCCAGUAGGAUGUGAGUAUGUGUACAAGAUUAAAUACAAGUUAGAUGGGACUAUAGAGAGAUUCAAAUCUCGGUUAGUAACAAAAAGUUACGCUCAACAAGCUGAGAUUGAUUACUUAGAGACUUUCUCUCCUAUGGCUAAAAUGACCACAGUUAGAUUACUCUUAGCAGUUGUUUAUGUUCGUGGGUAUUUUUUGCAAUAGCUUGAUAUCAAUAAUGCUUUCAUUCAUGGUGAUUUGCAUGAAGAGGUGUACAUGGAGUUACCUCUUGGAUAUGCUGGCAGUAAGAGGGAAUUUUCUGGUAAGGUGUGUAAACUAAACAAGUUAUUAUAUGGCCUAAAGCAAGCUUCAAGGCAAUGGUACUCAAAACUGUCACAAGCUUUGCUUAACUAUGAUUUUCAGUAGUCCAAAUCAGAUCACUCUUUGUUUAUCUACAAGUCUGACUCUAUCUUCUUGGCACUUUUAGUUUAUGUUGGUGAUAUCAUAUUGGCCAGUGAUGAUAUGAAUGAGAUUACUCGAUUGAAAGGGUUCUUAAAUGAGUAGUUUAAAAUCAAAGAUUUGGGGCAAUUGAAGUACUUCUUGGGAAUCGAAAUAGCACGGUGUAAAAGAGAAUACUGAUGAAGAUCUGCUCACUGACCCUACAAGCUAUAGAAGAUUGAUUGGAAAACUUCAAUAUUUAACUGCAACACAGCUUGACAUUUCUUAUUCUGUUGGUAAGCUUAGUCAGUUCAUGGAUAAGCCGGCAAAAGCACACAUGAAUGCUGCCUACAUAGUGCUAAGGUAUAUCAAGCAAAAUCCAGGACAAGGGUUGUAUUUUCCUGUUGAUUUAGAAUUGCACAUCAAAAGUUUUUGUGAUUCAGAUUGGGGAGGCCGUAAGGACAUCAGAAAGUCAAUAACAGGGUACUGCAUGUUCUUGGGUCAUAGUUUGGUAUCCUGGAAGUCAAAGAAACAUUCCACGGUUUCCAGAUCUUCAGCUGAAGCAGAGUACAGUGGUCUUGCUUCAACAACCUGUAAGGUUUUGUGGUUAAAAUACUUUGCUUGCUGACUUGAAAAUUGAUCAUUCACGACUAGCUUUACUCUUCCGUGACAGUCAAUUAGCCUUACAGAUUGCAAAAAAUUAUGUAUUCCAUGAACGUACUAAACACAGAGAUUGACUGUCCUGUUGUGCGGGAAAAGCUACAAGUAGGAAUCAUCAAACCAAUUCACAUUUCCUCGGGUUAGCAAAUAGCAGACAUUCUCACAAAGGCUCUUGGAAAAUUACAGUUUCAUAAUCCGUUGCGCAAGAUGAAUAUGAUCAAUAUAUAUUCAUCUUGAGGGGGAAUUUUAGAAGAAUCAACAUUGUCAUACAGUUGAAGGACAAGUGGCUGGUUAAGUUGAUUUUCUGUGCAGCUGUAAUAGGAGGCACAUUUUCACUUACCUCAUAUUAUUUUUUUAUAUAAAGUAUAGAGUCAGUUCUUCUUUUCAAAUAUAUAAAUACACUGAUGUAAUAGGAGAAAGGGUGAAUAAAAAUUUUGUUUCCUUUCUUCCA
Phoenix dactylifera (date palm) is the source of this 5711-nucleotide non-coding RNA. NCBI's taxonomy places the organism in Eukaryota, Viridiplantae, Streptophyta, Magnoliopsida, Arecales, Arecaceae. The record is from RefSeq and is a predicted model, not a curated record.